Molecule: long non-coding RNA, 1241 nt
Organism: Felis catus (domestic cat)
Lineage: Eukaryota; Metazoa; Chordata; Mammalia; Carnivora; Felidae
Exons: 3
Source: RefSeq, a predicted model, not a curated record
UUUCUGCAUCAUCAUAUUUAACAAUCAUCCUUUGUUCAAAUGCUGGAACAUUGUGCCGUUUUCAGUAGGUGCUCAGAAAGUGCGUUAAUGUGCAAUUUUAAUGGUUAGGAAGGCUUUGCUGAGGCAGAUAUGGGCUUGGCAUGCUACUAAAUCCAAAGUGUUUUCAAGUGUUUCAAUAGGGUCAUAACAUUGAUAAUUCAUAAUAUUGAUACUAGGAUGACCACAAAUUUUAUUCUUGCCCAGGGAGACCCCUUACAGAAAGCGGGUUUGAGAAUCGUGGUGGAAACUGGGAAAGAAGCUGUUGGCGGCACUGACUCUGGUAUCCUUACAGCCAGGCCCCUACUCUUGUCUAAAGGUAUGGGGAGGUGGGGUUAGGUGCACAAUCCAAGUCUUUUCCAGAGUUUAAAACUCAACCUAAUGUUUGUAGUGGGGGACUCCUACUGUGAAAUAAUGAAUGAUUUUACUUUACAAAUAUACGUUUUUGAGUUAUAUGAAACAACGCAAGUGUUUUAAUGCUAAGUGAAAAAUCUCGUUGUACAAAUAUAUACGUGGUUAUGAUGGUGCUUAAAACAAAUCUCAAAAUUUACACAUAGAAAAAAAAUAAACACCUUAGAAGUAAAUUCAACAAAAGUCAUUGGUGCUUGUGGGGCUAUAGGUGAGUAUUUUCCCUCCUUUUAGUUUGUGGUAGUCUCUAAAUCCAUAAUAAACAUAUUUUUAAUCAACGUAUAUUACUUUCACAUGGAAAAAAUGAACUGGGUCAAAGCUACGUUCAUAGUCAAGUUCAAGAGGAUUGUUCACUGAGAGAUGUGAAAUUAACCUAAAAUAUGGAAGAAGACUCUUACAAGUAAAUGAAUCAUGGAAUCCAAGAAAAGCAGUGCCUACUGGGACCCAGAGGUCAUUUAGAUUGUGUAUUCCAUGUAAUCCGGUCAUUUGAAGGCUUAGAAGAAAAUGAAGAUAAUUACUGAAAUCUCUGUCCUGCAUCUUCCAGUACUGAAUAAGACUGUACGAAGAUUAGUCCGGCUGUAACCCCAGCCCCUUAAAUACUGCUGGUCAUGUGGCAGGCACUCAAGAAAUGAAUAAAAAACUGCAAAAGUGGUGUGAACAGAAGGCUACUGCAGGUAACAGACUUUGGCUUGCCGUGUGUGACUUAGAACACAACCUUAAAUGGAAUGUAAAUGAAUGUGCCAACCUGAAGCCCAUCCCGUGGAUGCCACUAGCAUUUCCUGAAUACAUUCUUAACU